This 93-nucleotide non-coding RNA is filed under the name Treponema sp. RNAcentral describes it as "TPP sequence". It matches the Rfam family "TPP riboswitch aptamer (THI element)". From Rfam's summary of the family: Vitamin B(1) in its active form thiamin pyrophosphate (TPP) is an essential coenzyme that is synthesised by coupling of pyrimidine and thiazole moieties in bacteria. Lineage: Bacteria; Pseudomonadati; Spirochaetota; Spirochaetia; Treponematales; Treponemataceae. The record is from RNAcentral.
AUAAUUGAACAGGGGUGCUCCUAACGAGCUGAGAAUAUACCCUUUGAACCUGAUCUGGAUAAUGCCAGCGCAGGGAGGCGGUUUUCAUGUAUU